This 88-nucleotide transfer RNA is filed under the name Deltaproteobacteria bacterium. RNAcentral describes it as "tRNA-Leu". It matches the Rfam family "tRNA". Rfam says of the family: Transfer RNA (tRNA) molecules are approximately 80 nucleotides in length. Their secondary structure includes four short double-helical elements and three loops (D, anti-codon, and T loops). Further hydrogen bonds mediate the characteristic L-shaped molecular structure. tRNAs have two regions of fundamental functional importance: the anti-codon, which is responsible for specific mRNA codon recognition, and the 3' end, to which the tRNAs corresponding amino acid is attached (by aminoacyl-tRNA synthetases). tRNAs cope with the degeneracy of the genetic code in two manners: having more than one tRNA (with a specific anti-codon) for a particular amino acid; and 'wobble' base-pairing, i.e. permitting non-standard base-pairing at the 3rd anti-codon position. Lineage: Bacteria; Pseudomonadati; Myxococcota; Myxococcia. The record is from RNAcentral.
GCCGGAGUGGUGAAAGUGGUAGACGCAGGGGACUCAAAAUCCCCCGGGCUUUACGCUCGUCUCGGUUCGAGUCCGAGCUCCGGCACCA